Molecule: long non-coding RNA, 4910 nt
Filed under: Nicotiana tabacum (common tobacco)
Lineage: Eukaryota; Viridiplantae; Streptophyta; Magnoliopsida; Solanales; Solanaceae
Description: long non-coding RNA (NTAB_LNC003701)
Source: RNAcentral
GAAGAGAGGAGUGUGAGGUCAAGAGGUCUCGCAGGGAUGGUAGGUUCAGUGGUACCUCACCCAGGAAAGAUGCCAUCAUGGGAGAGGUCAUACUGGUAGACCAGCUCAUUUAGCACAGAAGCGUGCUCGCUGCGCUCCAAUUCAGCCAUUGUUCAGUGCACUCCCAAUGCAGAGUUCCUACCAUGCUCUUCCCUUCUGGUGUUUUUCUGGUGGAUAUUCAGGCCGUCAAAGGCAGGCACAAAGUCAGCUGCUUGUUCAGCUGUUAGUUGCUUUGGGUGUUGGUAGUUUGCGCAUAUCAUGGAGGAUUGUCCCAAGCGUGUUAGAGAUGUAGUGCAGCAGAGCUCUCAGGUUAUGGAUCCUACACCAGUUGCUAUGCCACUUGCCCAGCAACUAAAGGUGGAGGUUCAGCGCAUCGUUAUGCUUUAAGCGAUAGACCUGGGGCAAUGGCCUCUGAUGCGGUUAUCUCAGGUACUAUUUCAAUUUGUUAGAUGUUUCUAUGUUCUUGGAAUCUGGGAUCUUCAUAAUUCUAUGUGUUAUCAUGUCUGUAUCUUGUUUUGGUAUGUCUUGCGCGUCUCGGGCUGGUCCUAUAUAUGUAUCUGUAACAGUUGAGAAUUCUAUUAUUGUGAAUCGGGUCUAUUGGUCAUUGUUCUUACUAUAUGUGAAUGUGACACGAUGGUUAAUCUUCUAUUAUAGAUAUUGAGUGGAUAAAGGAAAUUCAAAUUCUUGAGGAAUUGUUGAGGACUUAGGUAGUUGAUUGUGGAGUUCGUGUAGACAAAAUAUAGGAAUUAUCAAGUUUUAGUUUGAACUACUUAAGUAUCUACUGAUGUUUCAAUUGUGGAGAAUUGAGUUGGCAUUGGAUCUUGCUGAAAACUUAGAUUAUUCUACACCAGCGUUGGUAUGACUAUGCAGAGAUAGAGAAGUAAAAAGGAGUAUGUUUUGAAGUCGUCAGAGUUCUCUUCAGACUGAGUGUUUUGAUUUAAGGUACUAUCACUUGUGAGAGGGAAAAAAUAUCAGGCCUUGUGUUAUUUCAGUAAUAUGCUUCUUGUAAGGAUCGUCGUGCAGGUUUUGACUGAAUAAAUUGUGUCCUAGUAGGAAUCAAGAGGUGUCUUCAAAAGGGAAGUCUGGAGUUUCAUGGACGAAUUUGAGUGCGGGAGUGCUUUGGUUUGUUCGCUUAGAAAGGUUCAAUUUUGAUGGUUCAAUCUUCUAGGAGAUAUCUUUAGGGAGAUAGAGGUGGUCUUCACUACGAUUUCGACAUUGGCAUUACUUAUAGAAUCACAUAAUGCGUGGUGUGUUUAUAAUUUAUUUUGCAAGUAUAGCUAAGUUGUGUGCUUCUUAGGUAAUGGAAUGCCUUCGGAAGGCUUUGACUAGGUGUUUUAGGGGUGGGGUGUUUUGUAAUUAGUCAAAUUGAGAAACUUAUUGAUUGACAUGAAGAGGUUUAUGGAAGUGUUCUUCUAGGGUUGAUUGUGUAUAGAUUCAUAGUGUUUUGGUGGAUGAUUCAGAGUUCAGCAGUGUGAGGAUUCUGUUAUUCUUUAGGUUAAGAGGUUCUAAUUCUAGAGGUAAAACAUCAUUGGGUAGGGUAAUGAGAGUGUAUUAAUGAUUGAAAGGUUGAACUGGUGAAUUCAGCAUAGGUGAUCUUGGGAGGUUAGUACAUGAUGGAAUAUAUGGUCAGUAAUAUGGGGGAUGGAUAGGUUAUUCUAGGGUAUAGGGGAAUGUAUCAUACAGAGGUCUUGGAUAGGGAAGUGUGGUAAAGGGGUAGUGGGAGUUUCUCCUUUGUGCUUGUGACAAUGAUCAUGUUCAGUAAAGGCUUCAGGAGUUGGCAAAUUUUAGUACUUGACGCUUUUGGAUUCCACGAGGUUAGAGACAUCAUGUGUGACUUGUUUAGGUGAAGGACCGUGAGAAAAACGCUAUCGGUGUGUUUCUUGUUAAUUUAGUCGAUAAUGGGUUGUAUCCACAUCUGUGAUUGAGGUUCAUGGUUGGGAUAUUCCUGGAAUGUCCAUGAGUUAAAGAUAAAGCAAUGGAAGGCUUAUGAUUUAUCUCAUAAGAAUUGUUGUUGGCUUUGAGCUGGCUACUAUCGGCCUAUUCAGAUCGUGUGCCCUAUACCGAGUCAGAUUUGCUUAUAUAGGCAAGAUAUGAUAUAGAUAUAUCAUUUGGAAAUUCUAGUCAUUAGAGAUAUUUUGGUUUAGUAGGUUCAAUAAAAGUGGAAUUCUUCAAAACGUUGAGGCAUUUGUAUAAAAUGCUUUUGGGGCAUAGAUUGAGUUGGGUUGGUUGCUUGUAUAUUGAUAGAACAAAUAUUCUGAUCAGGGUUUUAGAUGUUCGGUGAUCGUUGAGGAAGAAUGUCAUAAGCUCAAGAAGUUAUUAUGUUCCAUUACUUUUCUUCAAAUUCAUUGUAUUUGAGCAGAUAUUGAGAUAAGGCAUAACCAUUCUAUUUUGGGACUUGUACAGAAGUUGAUGUCAAUUGUUGGUUGAGUAGUUUGUAAUUGAUGAUACUAAGCUAGUAGGCUCGAAAUUUCUGAAAUUGGACUUGAAUGCGAAUAGCUUUCGAUGAAAAUGCUUUCAGAUGGCUUAGAUCAAGUAAUGGCUACUAUCAGGUGUGAGAAAUUCAUGAAUUAUCACUAUGGACAUUAGUUAGGAGUUUCUAUAGGUUUCUUUUGUCACUAUGUGCGUUGUAAAGAUUUAGAAGAAAGAUAUAUUGAGUUAUGCCAUUUUUGUCGGUGCGGGGUUGGCACGAGCAGUUAUUGCAGUACAUAGAAUAUUAUUAUGAUUAUAAGAUUUAUGGAAUGUACAAGUGGUUGCAAUCGGUUGGUUAAUAUAUGUCAUGAUAUUGUUUAUCAAGAUUGUAAUGAUGAAAAUAUAUGAGAAUUUGACAUAUGAAGAUUCCAAGUGUUAAAGAUGAAUUAAUGGAUUUGUAAGCUUGGGUUGAUGAAGAAAUUCCUAGAAGAGUUAUCCUAAUGGUAUUAGCCGUGUGAAGUAGUGUAUGAUGAGUUACUUGGUUAUUCGACAGCUUUGGAAGGACUCCUAACAUGUUCGAGGACGAAUGUAAUGAUCUAAUCGAUUGUUUUGAGUUUUAACACCUCGUUUCCCUGAUUGAGAUAUUCCCUAGGUGCAUUUCGUGGUUUAUGACUUGAGUACAUAGUUAGAAUGCAUUCCGUGAGGUUUGGAAUUGAUUUGGAACAAUUAGUUCCUAUUUGGAAGCUUCAAGUUGUUAUAGUUGACCGAGGUUUGACUUUUGGUUAAACGGACUCGAAAUUAAUUUUUAAUGGUUCCGCUAGGUUGGUAUGAUGAUUUUGGACUUGGGCAUAUAUUCAGAUUUAAAUUUGGACGACGACAUUCCUAGAAGAUUUUUGACUCCACUUGUCAGAAGUUGGCAAUUUGAAGAAUUUGAGAGUUCUUAAGUUUGACCGAUAGUUUUCUAUGAUGUUAUAGGACCCCUAUUCCUGUUCUGCGACAUAAUAUAGAUUCAUGUUAUUGAGUGUAACUUGUGUGCAAAUCUUGGUUGUGAUCCGGAAUGUCUAAGUAUGAUUCAAAGGCGUUCGAUGAAGUUGGAAGCUGAAAGGCAAGAAAUUUGGUUUGAUCUUUGAUUAUCGGUUUUGAUGUUAUUAUUUGUAUUUCGAGUCAUUAAAUAAGUUUUCAUGAGGUUUAUGAACUUUUAGAAUUAUUAGACGGGUACCUAAAGGUCUUGGGUGAGUUUCGAGGUGGUUUCGGGCGAUUUUGAGAAGUAUAACUGCUGCAGUUUUUUUGUUGUAUAGCAGUAAUUCGCAAUCGUUGAGUUGUGUCUUGUGAUCGCGGAGAAGGAGCUAGUAUGGGCAAAGAUUUUCUAUUCCCGAUUGCGUAGAGCUUGUCCACGAUUGCAUACAAAGGGAGUUUGGGUAAACUUCAUGACCGUGGGGUAAUUAGGUGUGAUUGUGUAAGGGUGAGGCAGGUAAGACAGCAGCCUCCGCGGUCGCAUAGGACUGUGCUGCAAUCAUGGUACACUCUGCCAUUGUUGGUCUUCGCGAUCGCAUAGGAUGGAGCAGCAAUCGCGAUUCAAUGAGACUUGGCAAUACUUAUGAGGCUAAAAAUCAAGAAUUGGUCAUUUUAUCCCGUUUUGAAGCCCUGGCUUCAGGUAAGACGAUUUUGAGCAGAUUUUCACCCAUAGUUCAAGUGGUAAGUAACCUCAACUCACCUUUGAAUUAUUAUCCUAGUUAUUUAUGGAUUUGAGCUUAUAAAUCAAGAGAUUAAAAGAGGGAAAAUGUGAGUUUUGGAGAAAUGUUUGAGAAGUGAUAUUUUGAGGUUUAGAUCAUGAAAUCGAAGUCACAUUUGAGAGAAAAUUAUAUAUUUGGACUUGUGGUGUUAUGAGUAAUCAUAAUCUUCAAUUUAUUUCGAAUUUCGAGCGUGUGGGCCUGAGGUUGAAUUUUUUAAAAUGAGUAAAUAUUGAACCUUUUAAGUAUGAGUUGAUUCCUAAAGCUUAUAAUGACUUAUGUGAACAUCAUUUGACUAGAUACAAGUCAUUUGGUGGUAGAUUGUAAUUUGUUAGGAAAUUGGAAGGCAAGAUGUGCAUUAAGGUGCGGAAAUACUAGAAUUUCAAGGGCUAGAGUAAAGUAUCAAUUUCUGAACCAUUUAAUAUGGUCCAUAUCUAAACACUAUUGCACCAAGGAGUGGCUUGGUCACUGGUUUGGCAUCUGUGAUCAAGUUCUUUCACUCUCCCAUAAGAUUGAAUGUUUUGAUGUAAGUGGAUGAAACCUCUCUCCAACUAGGUCAAAAUAAAUACUGAUGGAAGUCGGAAUGAGGAAGGGGUUAUGGGGGCUAGAGGUAUUAUUAGAGACUCUGAAGGCAAUUUGAUCUUGGCUUUUGCAUAUAGCAUGGGAAGGGGCAGUAGCAAUUUGGUGGAGGCAAAGGCAGCAUGGAUGGGGUGAAGUGGUGUAUUUCACGAG